UACAGAGGUGGCAAGCGUUGUUCGGAAUUACUGGGCGUAAAGGGCGCGUAGGCGGCCAGCUAAGUCAUACGUGAAAUCCCUCGGCUUAACCGGGGAACUGCGCCUGAUACUGGUUGGCUUGAGUUUGGGAGAGGGACGCGGAAUUCCAGGUGUAGCGGUGAAAUGCGUAGAUAUCUGGAGGAACACCGGUGGCGAAGGCGGCGUCCUGGACCAAUACUGACACUGAGGAGCGAAAGCCAGGGGAGCAAACGGG
RNAcentral lists this ribosomal RNA (253 nucleotides) under uncultured bacterium. RNAcentral's name for it is "partial 16S ribosomal RNA". It matches the Rfam family "Bacterial small subunit ribosomal RNA", at positions 524 to 776 of the family's 1533-position model. The record is from RNAcentral.